Molecule: long non-coding RNA, 2677 nt
Organism: Gallus gallus (chicken)
Lineage: Eukaryota; Metazoa; Chordata; Aves; Galliformes; Phasianidae
Source: Ensembl
AAUUACUAACUGAUAGCAAAUGGAUUGUGUGGUUCAAUUUUCCAGAGCAGCAUCAAAAUUCUGAAGUGUCUGUAUAGUUUCAUAGGGUGGAGGCAUGGGUCCUUCUGCUCGUUUGGUUUGGAUAACUUGUGGGUCAUUCAGAGAAAAUGGCUAUGGACUUUGUGAGGAAGCUUUUUCCAAAAACAGGAUUGAGAAAGGACAUAGAAGACUGGAGAGUAAAUACACUGAAAUGAUUCACACCACCUCAAAUGAGUAUCACAGAUGAACCAAUGAGAUCCCUGAUAAUUCACAUUGGAGCUAGACUGAGGAGAGAUGGGCAAGUCUAGAAGACGAUUCCUCUCGGGGUGAUUUGAGAUGUUUUUGUGGACUUUCAUGACCACUGUCUUCAUGUCUGUAGGCUGUUCUUAUCAGAAAGAGCCUUGUUUUGGAUAUGUCUGUGUGGAUAUGAAUUUUCCAGUCAUGGAUAUGACAUAAUUCAGUAGCUGUAAUUUCCUGGAUCCCUCUUCUUGCCCUUUUUGAAGAUGUGAGUGACGUUUCCUUUUCUCCAGUCUUCAUGCACUUCUUCCAGUUGCCACAAGCAAGCAAAGAUAAGAUUGAGUGGCCUUGCAAUCAUCUUUGCAGCUCCCUUAGCACUUGUGGGCUCAUCCCAUCAUGGCCUAUGGACUUGUGAACAUUUAAAUUUGCUCAAGUGUUUCCUGAUAUGAUUAUCUUCCACCAGAUGCAUAUUCAUUGCUUCAGUCAUUUAGCAUAGCUUCUGGGAUUCCUUUCAUCAAAAAGGAUCCCCUAAAUGACUCACCAGCAUCAGCAAACAAACAGCAAAAUGAAGCCAGAGAAUUGCAUCAGAUAAUUUCUCAUUCCUUGAGUAAAAUAUGCAAAGAUUUAAAAUGCAUGCCACAGACUUCUCAGGAAUUUGCAUCUAUCUGAAGGUUCAUAGCAGGGGAGAUAUCAUUUUGGCAUUUGCUUUUUAUGACAGGUAGAGGAAAAUAAAAGCUUAAAGGACAUAUUAAUGGUUCACGUCCUCAUCAAGCUUAGCCAUCUGUAUUUAGCCAGUGUUUCUGCUGUAAAUAUGUUUGUGCCUUAUCAGAUUGACUACAGAGGUUAAUUAAACUUCUUUCUAGAUUUGAUAUCUUUCCAAGAACAUGUAGCAAGUGAUUUGUAGAGGCUAGUCUGUUUGAUACAGGUAAUGCUGCUAUACACAAGAAAAGAGAAAUAGUAGUGAAAGGCAACAGAGAUUUGCUGUGAAAAGAGAAAAGAGGUUAUACUUGCAUAAAAUUUCCUCCUAUGAAGGAGAAUGUAUACUCAGAGUCAGGCUUGCCAUCACUCACUUCAUAACAAGCCUUAAGGAAGCACAUCUAGUGUUGAGAAAAUGUAUGAAAAAUCUCGACUUUCCCUUUAGUGUAGUGAUAGCAGGAUAAAGGUCUAAAGUGACCAUUAGCUGUCAGUAAGCUCAUUGGUGCUAUGUAGGCAGAAGGCAUCAUGAAAAUGCUGAAGUACGUGUCUUAUCUGUCUCUAUUACUGCAUAGUAUAAAUUGGAUAAAUUUGAUAUGUCACUGUGCUCUACUGUACUUUACUUUGUGAAAACAUUUUUGUUGCCUCUUGAAUGGAUAUUACAUGUAAAACCAACAUUUCAAAAAGAUUGCUUUCCUGGAGAAAAUUCAUCCAGAAAUCAUGAAUCAGGAAAGCAUGAACAAAACAGCCUACCCAGGGGCUAUAGCAUUAAGGAUGUAAAAAAGAUAGGAUGCUGUGUAAAUUGGUUUGGCUGAAUCGCACAUACAUUAGAGGGAAAACACCCCAAAACCAAGAACCGUGUCAAAUAGAGGAGAAUACCACAGAGGGUUACUGCACCCCCACCUCUGCUCAGUGUUAGUACUUCUGAGUUUGAAAAACCACACAUUGAAGCCAAAACAUAUAUAAAGGGAAAUGGCGUAAACGAUCAUUUUCUACUCUCUCCUUCAGCAUCCCUAUCUAUGAAGGAGAGUGCAUCAGAACAGUUGAGUCUAUUUCCAGGAUUUCCCCUCCAAAUUUAUAGCAUCUCUUCUGCAGGGAUCAGACUCCAUCUUCAAGUCACUUAUGUUUCUAAUAGCCCUUUGUAAAACCAGUAACAAAUCUGGUGAUCUCAAGGUCAUGACCAUUGUACCGUUGUCUGAUGUUUUGUCUACUUCCGUUUCCAAUUUGCAUCAUUCUUCUUUGGUUUGUUCUUCUCCCCUCUUCAGACUUCAACCUUUUAUGUAUAUACAGUAAAACAUCAUAACAACCUUUUGAAUCUUUGGCUAAAUAAACUACUCUCUCUAAACUUAUUUUAAUAAACGACUUCAAAUUCCUUAAUCCUUCUGAGCAACAGAGGCUCAAAAGAGAAUACAAGUAUUUCGUGGAAAAAGGGAAAGACUGGUAGAUCAGAUGAGUGAAGGUUUAAGUGAGAGUGGGAAGACAAAUUAAGCCAUCCAUACUUAAAUUCAUAUAUCUAUGUGUGUUAUGUGGAUGUAUUAGCGUAUUUAGGCAUAAUUUAGUUUUUCUUUACAUAUAAACAGAGAUUUCGCAGUAUUAACUAUCUCAGCCUCUUAUUAUUAUACAGAAAAGCUGUCGAUAAAGGUCACUGCAAUGAUGUCUCAGUAUGACAAAGAGUUAUGUGCAAUCUGUGUAUUUCUGUUGGAAACGCAGGAGCUUCUUAUGUGGUUGU